This is a non-coding RNA of Caenorhabditis elegans, 67 nucleotides long. The record is from Ensembl. NCBI's taxonomy places the organism in Eukaryota, Metazoa, Nematoda, Chromadorea, Rhabditida, Rhabditidae.
AGUGUGACACUCGCUUAAUUCAUUUAUUAUGUAUGACAAUUUAUUCAUGCAUUCAUUUAUUUUCAGC